UACGUACGAGGCGAGCGUUAUCCGGAUUUACUGGGCGUAAAGCGCGUUCAGGCGGUUCGGCAAGUCGGGCAUGAAAUCUCUCGGCUCAACCGGGAGAGGUUGUCCGAUACUGUUGGACUUGAGGGCAGUAGAGGGUGGUGGAAUUCCGGGUGUAGUGGUGAAAUGCGUAGAUAUCCGGAGGAACACCAGUGGCGAAAGCGGCCACCUGGACUGUACCUGACGCUCAAACGCGAAAGCUAGGGGAGCGAACGGG
This 253-nucleotide ribosomal RNA is filed under the name uncultured bacterium. Its description in RNAcentral is "partial 16S ribosomal RNA". It matches the Rfam family "Bacterial small subunit ribosomal RNA", at positions 524 to 776 of the family's 1533-position model. The record is from RNAcentral.